Molecule: ribosomal RNA, 3006 nt
Filed under: Salmonella enterica subsp. enterica serovar Typhimurium
Lineage: Bacteria; Pseudomonadati; Pseudomonadota; Gammaproteobacteria; Enterobacterales; Enterobacteriaceae
Description: bacterial LSU rRNA
Rfam family: Bacterial large subunit ribosomal RNA
Source: RNAcentral
UUAAGCGACUAAGCGUACACGGUGGAUGCCCUGGCAGUCAGAGGCGAUGAAGGGCGUGCUAAUCUGCGAUAAGCGCCGGUAAGGUGAUAUGAACCGUUAUAACCGGCGAUACCCGAAUGGGGAAACCCAGUGUGACUCGUCACACUAUCAUUAACUGAAUCCAUAGGUUAAUGAGGCGAACCGGGGGAACUGAAACAUCUAAGUACCCCGAGGAAAAGAAAUCAACCGAGAUUCCCCCAGUAGCGGCGAGCGAACGGGGAGGAGCCCAGAGCCUGAAUCAGCAUGUGUGUUAGUGGAAGCGUCUGGAAAGGCGCGCGAUACAGGGUGACAGCCCCGUACACAAAAGCGCAUGUGCUGUGAGCUCGAUGAGUAGGGCGGGACACGUGGUAUCCUGUCUGAAUAUGGGGGGACCAUCCUCCAAGGCUAAAUACUCCUGACUGACCGAUAGUGAACCAGUACCGUGAGGGAAAGGCGAAAAGAACCCCGGCGAGGGGAGUGAAAAAGAACCUGAAACCGUGUACGUACAAGCAGUGGGAGCCCCACCACCAAAGCAUUCUCUGGUGUUGAAGGCCCUGCAAAGCAGCAUCGCGGUGGCGGAGCGUCGUUUGCGACGCCCAACACACAAAACAAGCGGUGAAUGCUUUGGGGUGGGGUGACUGCGUACCUUUUGUAUAAUGGGUCAGCGACUUAUAUUCUGUAGCAAGGUUAACCGAAUAGGGGAGCCGGAGGGAAACCGAGUCUUAAUUGGGCGUUAAGUUGCAGGGUAUAGACCCGAAACCCGGUGAUCUAGCCAUGGGCAGGUUGAAGGUUGGGUAACACUAACUGGAGGACCGAACCGACUAAUGUUGAAAAAUUAGCGGAUGACCUGUGGCUGGGGGUGAAAGGCCAAUCAAACCGGGAGAUAGCUGGUUCUCCCCGAAAGCUAUUUAGGUAGCGCCUCGUGAAUUCAUCUCCGGGGGUAGAGCACUGUUUCGGCUAGGGGGCCAUCCCGGCUUACCAACCCGAUGCAAACUGCGAAUACCGGAGAAUGUUAUCACGGGAGACACACGGCGGGUGCUAACGUCCGUCGUGAAGAGGGAAACAACCCAGACCGCCAGCUAAGGUCCCAAAGUCAUGGUUAAGUGGGAAACGAUGUGGGAAGGCCCAGACAGCCAGGAUGUUGGCUUAGAAGCAGCCAUCAUUUAAAGAAAGCGUAAUAGCUCACUGGUCGAGUCGGCCUGCGCGGAAGAUGUAACGGGGCUAAACCAUGCACCGAAGCUGCGGCAGCGACGCUGAUGCGUUGUUGGGUAGGGGAGCGUUCUGUAAGCCUGUGAAGGUGUGUCGUGAGGCAUGCUGGAGGUAUCAGAAGUGCGAAUGCUGACAUAAGUAACGAUAAAGCGGGUGAAAAGCCCGCUCGCCGGAAGACCAAGGGUUCCUGUCCAACGUUAAUCGGGGCAGGGUGAGUCGACCCCUAAGGCGAGGCCGAAAGGCGUAGUCGAUGGGAAACGGGUUAAUAUUCCCGUACUUGGUGUUACUGCGAAGGGGGGACGGAGAAGGCUAUGUUGGCCGGGCGACGGUUGUCCCGGUUUAAGCGUGUAGGUGUGUGUUCCAGGUAAAUCCGGUUCACUUUAACACUGAGGCGUGACGACGAGGCACUACGGUGCUGAAGCAACAAAUGCCCUGCUUCCAGGAAAAGCCUCUAAGCAUCAGGUAACACGAAAUCGUACCCCAAACCGACACAGGUGGUCAGGUAGAGAAUACCAAGGCGCUUGAGAGAACUCGGGUGAAGGAACUAGGCAAAAUGGUGCCGUAACUUCGGGAGAAGGCACGCUGACACGUAGGUGAAGUGAUUUACUCAUGGAGCUGAAGUCAGUCGAAGAUACCAGCUGGCUGCAACUGUUUAUUAAAAACACAGCACUGUGCAAACACGAAAGUGGACGUAUACGGUGUGACGCCUGCCCGGUGCCGGAAGGUUAAUUGAUGGGGUCAGCGCAAGCGAAGCUCCUGAUCGAAGCCCCGGUAAACGGCGGCCGUAACUAUAACGGUCCUAAGGUAGCGAAAUUCCUUGUCGGGUAAGUUCCGACCUGCACGAAUGGCGUAAUGAUGGCCAGGCUGUCUCCACCCGAGACUCAGUGAAAUUGAACUCGCUGUGAAGAUGCAGUGUACCCGCGGCAAGACGGAAAGACCCCGUGAACCUUUACUAUAGCUUGACACUGAACAUUGAGCCUUGAUGUGUAGGAUAGGUGGGAGGCUUUGAAGUGUGGACGCCAGUCUGCAUGGAGCCGACCUUGAAAUACCACCCUUUAAUGUUUGAUGUUCUAACGUGGACCCGUAAUCCGGGUUGCGGACAGUGUCUGGUGGGUAGUUUGACUGGGGCGGUCUCCUCCUAAAGAGUAACGGAGGAGCACGAAGGUUGGCUAAUCCUGGUCGGACAUCAGGAGGUUAGUGCAAUGGCAUAAGCCAGCUUGACUGCGAGCGUGACGGCGCGAGCAGGUGCGAAAGCAGGUCAUAGUGAUCCGGUGGUUCUGAAUGGAAGGGCCAUCGCUCAACGGAUAAAAGGUACUCCGGGGAUAACAGGCUGAUACCGCCCAAGAGUUCAUAUCGACGGCGGUGUUUGGCACCUCGAUGUCGGCUCAUCACAUCCUGGGGCUGAAGUAGGUCCCAAGGGUAUGGCUGUUCGCCAUUUAAAGUGGUACGCGAGCUGGGUUUAGAACGUCGUGAGACAGUUCGGUCCCUAUCUGCCGUGGGCGCUGGAGAACUGAGGGGGGCUGCUCCUAGUACGAGAGGACCGGAGUGGACGCAUCACUGGUGUUCGGGUUGUCAUGCCAAUGGCACUGCCCGGUAGCUAAAUGCGGAAGAGAUAAGUGCUGAAAGCAUCUAAGCACGAAACUUGCCCCGAGAUGAGUUCUCCCUGAGACUUUAGGUCUCCUGAAGGAACGUUGAAGACGACGACGUUGAUAGGCCGGGUGUGUAAGCGCAGCGAUGCGUUGAGCUAACCGGUACUAAUGAACCGUGAGGCUUAACCUU